This 494-nucleotide ribosomal RNA is filed under the name uncultured bacterium. RNAcentral describes it as "partial 16S ribosomal RNA". It matches the Rfam family "Bacterial small subunit ribosomal RNA", at positions 28 to 507 of the family's 1533-position model. The record is from RNAcentral.
GAUGAACGCUGGCGGCGUGCCUAAUACAUGCAAGUAGAACGCUGAAGGAGGAGCUUGCUUUUCUGGAUGAGUUGCGAACGGGUGAGUAACGCGUAGGUAACCUGCCUGGUAGCGGCGGAUAACUAUUGGAAACGAUAGCUAAUACCGCAUGACAACAGUUAUUCCAUGAUAACCGUUUAAAAGGGGCAACUUCUCCCCUACCAGAUGGACCUGCGUUGUAUUAGCUAGUUGGUGGGGUAACGGCUCACCACGGCGACGAUACAUAGCGGCCCUGAGAGGGGGUCCGCCAAACCUGGAAUGAGACAAGGGCCAAGACUCUAAGGGAAGGAGCAAGAGGGGAACUUUGGCAAAGGACGGAAGUCUGACCGAGGAACGCCGGGGGAGGGAAGGAGGGUUUCGGAUCGUAAAAAUCUGUUGAAAGGGAAGAAAGAGAGGGAGAGUGGAAAGUUCACACUGUGACGGUAUCUAACCAGAAAGGGACGGCUAACUACGUG